GGGCGGUUAGCUCAGUUGGUAGAGCGGCUCGUUUACACCGAGUAGGUCGGCGGUUCGAACCCGUCACCGCCCACCA
This 76-nucleotide transfer RNA is filed under the name Altererythrobacter sp. C41. RNAcentral's name for it is "tRNA-Val". It matches the Rfam family "tRNA". From Rfam's summary of the family: Transfer RNA (tRNA) molecules are approximately 80 nucleotides in length. RNAcentral also lists the same sequence under 1 other name. Lineage: Bacteria; Pseudomonadati; Pseudomonadota; Alphaproteobacteria; Sphingomonadales; Erythrobacteraceae. The record is from RNAcentral.